AUUUUGUAGUGAGCUAAGUGAGUUGGUGUAAUACGGUAUCGACAACGUAGAGGAGGUGAAAGUCAAAGUACUUUGGUGUAAGUCCUGCAGACGCAGGGUCGUGAAUUCAGCAGUCAUUAGUGAAGCCAGGAAAAUUGAUUAGACUGUCAACUUUUCUGAUAAGAACUCAAGUGGAACCUUAUAUUCUCCAGGAUUCGAUUUUAUAUCGAAGGUGUCCCAUAUCAACAGGGAUACCAGAGAGCGAGGAGGAAUGGAUGUCAGUGUCUGAAGAGUUUGAUCGGAAAUGGGACUUUCCUCACUGCCAUCGAGCUAUUGAUGGAAAACAUGUUAAAAUUACAAAGCCAUAUAACUCUGGUUCUUACUACUAUAAUUAUAAAGGUACUUUUAGUUGUAGUUUUAAUGGCUAUAGUUAAUGCCAAAUGUCAGUUCCUUAUGGUACAUAUAGGAACAAAUGGAAGAGUCUCAGA
Molecule: long non-coding RNA, 467 nt
Organism: Macrobrachium nipponense
Lineage: Eukaryota; Metazoa; Arthropoda; Malacostraca; Decapoda; Palaemonidae
Exons: 3
Source: RefSeq, a predicted model, not a curated record